AAAAAAAAAAGAACUCCAGUUUAGUAUGUGACUCCUCAGGGUGCCUUUGGAUUGGUCAGGACCUUUAACUCAGAAGUUGAAAUUGGAAACAACUGAAGGGUUGUAAGUCAGGAAGGGAUGGAUUUGAGAGGGUUGAAACCAAGUGGCAAGAAAAUCAAACUCCUGAAAUGGAAAAGAAGUGAAGAAGCAUCCGAGCAGUGGUUAUAAGGAAACAGAGAAGAUGGCAAUGUUGAGGUAGAAUGGAAAGGAAGAAUCGUAGGGCUGGGGGCGCAGUCGGUGGUGGAGUAUAGCAUGCAUGAGGCCCUGGGUUCAGUCCCAUCCCGUUAAGGGUUAAAGUCGUUCCACCAACUGCAAUGGGGCACUCAAGCUGCAGCUAAAUUGUUAAGAAGUAUAACUUCUUGGGAAGACGAUUUUUUUGAAAUUGUAGCUCAUGUAUUCCUGUGGGACAGUAUGGUCUGAUGCUGCACAAUUACUAAAGUUUGCAAAUGACUAAGACAAGGGGAGAAUUUAAAACUUUCCAAGAUUGACCAGGAGUUGUGUGUUUCAUUUUGUAACAAUAUCAUGAAAUUUAAAAGCCCACAAAAGGUAUUACAGGAAUUUAUAUCCCAAACGCCAGUCAUUGUCUGGAGUUAUAAUUCUGGUGUGGGCAAGCAUGGUAAGUGUUAACAUGAGAUUAGAAACCAUGACAUGAAUCUUCUUUCCAAGAGCUGGGGUAGUCCUUUUACAGCUUUGACACCUAGCACAAAUGCUCAUCCAGAUUUAAAAUAGGCUCAAAGAGGCACACCUCCCCUUUCAACUCCCAAGUAACAGAGACCCAGAUAGGACUCACGUAGGCCUCCCAGGAGGAGGAAAAGGGAACACACUCCACCAGCAGCUAGGUAACGGGUGCCUGCCAGAAGUGCCCUCCAAACAAGGUUGGACUCGGAUAUGUGUCUCUCACACAAUUGAGUAGCAACUCUUCCAAAUGUGCAAGCUAAGGUUUACUUUUGGAUAAGUGGAAAUAAGUUUUGAAAUAGAGAACUGAGUUAUCAGAAAAUUGGUUGGUAAACAGGGUUGGAAAUAUCUUUAACCACUGGUGAUGUUAAGUUAUAAUAUGGUCACCCCUCUCCACUGUUGGGAUACAUCUUCAAGGAAAAAACAGAUUAAGCCUUUGGCCAGCAAUCCCUCUCCUAAAUAAACAUACUGGUCCUGGAAACAGCUCUUAGCCUCUUAAUUUGCUCCCUUUGCAGUGAGAAAGUGGACCAGAGAGAUUGAGAAAGGCCUGGGCACAGAGCUAGUAAAUGGCCCCCAGGCUGCCUCAGGUGAGAGCCCUGCCUCAGAACACAAGCCUGCAAAAUUCUUUCUCCCCUUGCUGUUUCACAAAGGAGGGAAACCAGGUCGGGAAAGUAGGAGAUUGACACCACGAUGUGCAGCCAGUACCUGAAAGAGCUGGAAUUUGAAAAUCCAUGUGAACCCCACCUGUGCUCCGGAAGCACUAGACUUUGCAUGUGGUUAGAUAUGAGUUCGUUGGUUUUCAAAACUGCAGAGUCCAGCACAUUGACCAUCCCAUAUAUUCAUGAUAAACAAAGGAGAUGAGAACAAAAUUCAUGCAAUCAUAGCAAAGAGUAAUGACCAGCCUGCUACACUGAGUUACCUACAAUCUUAUAAUUCAAAGAUUCUGGUUGCAUGGUUGUCUCAACAAAAGCGGGAUGGAUAGAGAGGUAAUCAUGAAGUCUCUUCAACCACCGAGAACACAGAUGGGAACCGACAGCUACAUAAAGCAGAGGUACAGUCCGCACACUUGUUCCCAAUCAAACCAUUUUCCAGAGCCUCCUGGAUUCCUCGAAAG
Sciurus carolinensis (gray squirrel) is the source of this 1828-nucleotide long non-coding RNA. RefSeq lists it as uncharacterized. The transcript has 3 exons. The record is from RefSeq and is a predicted model, not a curated record. NCBI's taxonomy places the organism in Eukaryota, Metazoa, Chordata, Mammalia, Rodentia, Sciuridae.